This is a long non-coding RNA of Drosophila yakuba, 1797 nucleotides long. RefSeq lists it as uncharacterized. Lineage: Eukaryota; Metazoa; Arthropoda; Insecta; Diptera; Drosophilidae. The record is from RefSeq and is a predicted model, not a curated record. The transcript has 2 exons.
UACAGAUAAAGAUAAAGAUAAUGAUAAGGUUAAAGCUUUUGAAGCUUUCCGAUUGCAUUCAGCUUCAGAUUGUCAAACGAGCAGAAGCCGCAACAAAAUCGAAAUAGAAUAUAACGUUAACGUUAAAAUAUCACAAGGAAAACACAACCGUUGCGCAGGAGCAGCAGAGGAAAACUGACUGAUGGACCCGGAAAAUCUCGGCAGGCAGGAGGAUUGAGGAUUUAGGAUUUAGGACUUAGGAGCGCUGCAGAUGACAGCAAACAAUGGACCAGGAAAAUGUUGGCCAGGAGUGGAAAAUUGACAAACAAUGGGUCAGUCAGCCAGUCGCUGAGCCGAGGGUGAAGUCGCCAGCCAACAGACCGAGGGUAGAAGAAGAAGCAGCGACGGCCACGGCGGCAUCAAUUUAAUUUAAAUAAUGUGAACUUUCAUGCCAAUGAAAAUGAUUUCAAAAGAGAAACUCAACGCAGUCCAACUCCCAAAACAAACUCGACAACUUCACUUCCGCUACAAAUGCAACAGAGGCAACACAAACGUUGUAAGCAACAACACUGGCAACAUCUUGAACAACGUAAAACAACAAUGAUGACACCCACCCAACCAAAAAAAAGGGUUAACUUGGGCAUAGGGAAAUGCUAAUGGUUUAGGGGAAGACUAUUACCAAAUAGAGAUGGCUAUGGAAUCCCUUUUUAUAGUGCUAAACUAUGAUAGUAAAGCAUAGUACAAUUUUACUAGAAAUAUAGGGGUUAUAUUCAUGUAAAGUUUACUUUUUAUAUAUUAUAUUAUAUUAUAUUUUAUAUUAUAUAAUAUUAUAAAGCCAAGGGAUCUAGCUAGAUCAUUGAGUGUUAUAUCUAUAGUAACUAUUAAAUUCGCUAAAUCUGUUAAUCCCCCAUUUCUUAGAGUGUGCCCGCCACCAUUCACGACAACUCGCCACUCUUUCUCCCAAUUUCCCCGUGGAGUGUCAACAGUUUGACGCAUAUUAAUUUUAAAAACUCCCACGCUCAACAUUUCUUUCAUUUUUUUUUGUUCGUCGUUUUUGGUUCGGUUUUGUAUGGGGGGCUUUUUUUCGCUUUGGUGGGGGGAGUAGUUUCGUUUUGGGUCUUUCACUCAAGACUCGGUCGUCGACGAUUCGAUGCGUCGUCCAUUUGCCUUUGGAGUUACUUUGCAGUCGGCAUUUCUGCGGAGGGAGAGAAAGCUUGGCGUCUCGCCCUGUCCCGCUCUAGCCGUGCAGCUAUCACUCUCGCACUCGCAUUUGCAGUUUUGCUUGCAGUUUUUCGUGAAAGUCGAUUCGCAGUUGCUGUUGUUGUUGCUGUUGUUGCAUUAGUAGUAGUAGUUGUUGUUAUAUAAAGCGUACGAAAUCAUGUAAGUGGAGUGAAAUUUGCCUGCUGCUUAUUUUUUUAACUGCCUUGUUUGGCCUAUGCGAUUGUUUUUCGCACUAAUGAAAACAAUUGAAAGUUGUGGAAAAUUAUGCUUCCAUAAUUAUACCCUUAGCUGAUUUGAACGACUUUUCCACAGCAUUGCACCCAUUGCUCACAUUGAUCCAAUUAAUGGAUCAAUAAACUUUGGAAAAAGGCGUUAGAAACACGAGUUGUUUGUUUUUGCUCAGCUCUGAUCUCAUUUCGAGAAAUCUGCACCGAAAAGCCAUUAAAGUCGCGUCCCAUUUUCAACGCAUAACUUUAAUGCUGUUAAUUUUUACAUAACUGCUGUUGCUCGCUUACAGAUUUCAAAUGCUAAUCAACGUGUGUCACACUUUUUGUGUGGCCCAAAAAAAAAAAAAAAAAUAAAUAAAAAAAACUAGGC